UUGUACACACCGCCCGUCGAAACUACCGAUUGAAUGGCAAAGUGAGGUCUUGGGGGCGUUGGCUUGGUGGGCGACCGCCGCGCUGAUGCAAACUUGAUCAAACUUGGUCAUAAAGAGGGAGUACAAGUCGUAACAAGGUUUCCGUAGGUGAACCUGCGGGAGGGUCAUUUUUGAACCAUAAAAACACUGUGACGAGCCCUUGCGUAGCGAGGGCGACUGCUUCCGGUUCGCCGGGAAAUUUUUUAAACCAAAUCUGAUAAUGAAAGUGAAAAACUUUCAACAACGGGUCUCUUGGUUCUCGCAUCGAUGAAGAACGCAGCAAAGCGCGAUAGGUAAUGCGAAUUGCAGACGUGAGUCAUUGAAUCUUUGAACGCACAUUGCGCCAGUAAACUGGCAUACUGCGUUGAGCGUCGGCCUUCCUCCACAGGUGCUGCUACAAACAGUAGUGAAAGGCAUGGGAACGCACCCGAAAGCAAACCGGUGCUGACCUACAAAUUCGACCUCAGCGUAGUAAGAAAACCCGCUGAACAAAAGCAUAUCAAUAAGCGGGGGGAAAGAAACCAACAGGGGUUGCCCUAGUAAUGGCGAAUGAACAGGCAAAAGCUCAGAUUUGAAACCCUCGGGGUUGUAAUCUGGGGACCUGGGUUUGGCACGCUGACCAAGUCUUCUGGGACGGGGCGCCAUGGGGGGUGACAGCCCCGUAGCAGCAGCCGCAGUAAAUCCGGGUCGACGAGUCG
RNAcentral lists this ribosomal RNA (737 nucleotides) under Bandonia marina. RNAcentral describes it as "eukaryotic LSU rRNA". The stretch from base 498 to 737 matches the Rfam family "Eukaryotic large subunit ribosomal RNA", at positions 1 to 267 of the family's 3401-position model. The record is from RNAcentral. Lineage: Eukaryota; Fungi; Basidiomycota; Tremellomycetes; Trichosporonales; Tetragoniomycetaceae.